GACGAACCGUGCAAACGUUGUUCGGAUUCACUGGGCUUAAAGGGCGCGUAGGCGGGUGGUCAAGUCAGGGGUGAAAUCUUUCAGCUCAACUGGAAAACAGCUUCUGAUACUGGCCAUCUUGAGGGGGGUAGGGGCAUGUGGAACUUCCGGUGGAGCGAUGAAAUGCGUAGAUAUCGGAAGGAACGCCGGUGGCGAAAGCGACGUGCUGGACCUUUUCUGACGCUGAGGCGCGAAAGCCAGGGGAGCAAACGGG
Molecule: ribosomal RNA, 253 nt
Filed under: uncultured bacterium
Lineage: Bacteria
Description: partial 16S ribosomal RNA
Rfam family: Bacterial small subunit ribosomal RNA
Source: RNAcentral